GAAUCGCCCGUGCGCUGCGCUCGCCCUGCGGAACGUGCAAAAGGGUCAAAACCCUAGCCGCCAGUUCUCGUCAAGCGCGCGGCCCCUCUGCCUCGUCUCCUCCCUACUCCCUCCUCUCCCACGACGCUGCCCUCGAGCCCGCGCCGCCUCCAACUCGUCUCCUCCCCGCUCCCUCCUCUACAACGCAGCCGCCCUCGAUGCGCCGUAAGGAGCAGGGCAACGGAUUGGAUCGAGGGCGCCCUAGCCUCACCGCCGUUGCACUUGGAUUCGCUAGCCGCCGCGUCGAGUCACCUCCGUCCCCGCCGCGAGUCAGCUCCACCGUUGCCGCCAGGAAUCCCUUCCCGACAAGGAAAAUUCCUAGGGAUUUUAUUGAUGGAGGCAUCACUAUUUGGCGCUGGAUUAUCCAUUUUUGCAGCACCAGCAAUGUUGUUUUUGUUUGGAAUGGCCAGUUCUCAAUUUCUAAAUCGGCUAUACUAUACUUCUUGUGAGGUUACAUUAUCUUGCUUGGUUUCAGUCUAUAUGUAGCACAAAAAUAGGUGACAUGGUUGGUUUGUAUGUUACACUAAGGAAUACCACCAUAAGGAUAAGGGCAUUGCACUUCUUUGUUUAUAUUUGGUCUGUUCCUAUUCGAUUUGUUGUAGUACUUAAUUGCUACACCAUUUCAAGUUUCUUACUAUUUUCUUCUUGUUGUUUCAUUGUAUUCAGUUAUGAUAUAUUUUUCAACUAUACAAGCACUUGGGGAAGUCGGGAAAACUGAACCAAAGACACACUUUUACUGGUGAUGUUGGGGCUUUUUUUAACUGAGAUGUGAAAGAUGCAUCUUGUUAGGAAUAUGCAACUUGUAUUCCCAUGAGGCCAUAGGCCGAUAUAUAUACAUGUACAGAUGUGAAACAUAUGCAGGAAACCCCUUAUAUAACGGGAUAAAUACAAAGGGGUACAUGACUUAUAAUAUAACUCUAACACCCCCCCCUCAAACUCAUGGCGGAUGAACAACACUGAGUUUGGAGAGAUAAAAGCCAUGUUGUGCUCUAGUCUGGGCCUUCGUCAGGAAAUCCGCCAACUGUAACUCGGAAGGCACAUACUGAAGAGCAAUAACCUGAUCCUGCACACCAGCGCGUACAUAGAAAGCAUCAACACCAAUAUGCUUGGUGAGCUCAUGCUUCACAGGAUCACGCGCAAUGCUAAUAGCACCUGUACUGUCAGAUAAGAGCGGAGUCGGUGUAGUGACAGAAACACCAAAAUCCUGAAGUAACCACCGUAACCAAGUCACCUCUGCCGUCAAAAGAGCCAUUGCUCGCAACUCAGCCUUGGCACUCGAAGGGAAACUGCAAUCUGUUUCUUCGUCUUCCAGGCAAUGAGAGAACCACCAAGAAAAACACAGUAAGCAGAAAGUGAACGGCGAUCUGAAGGAUCACUAGCCCAUGUAGCAUCCGAAUAAGCCUGAAGCUGUAAAGAACUGGAGCGAGGAAAGAAUAGACGGUGAGAGAUUGUGCCCCGAAGAUAUCGGAGAACACGAAGGAGAUGACUAUAGUGGACCGAUGUGGGAGCGGAGACGAACUGACUCAGAAUAUGAACCGGAUAAGAGAUAUCCGGACGAGUGACAGCUAGAUAGACAAGACUGCCAACAAGAUGACGAUAACACGUCGGGUCAGGGAGGGGAUCACCAUCAGUAGCACGGAAGUGAACAUUGAGCUCCAUAGGAGUCUCAACAAUGCGUUCGUCAGUAAGAGCAGCACGAGCAAGAAGAUCUUGGAUAUACUUUUCCUGGGAUAUAAAAAAGCCAUCAGAGGUAGAAGAGACUUCAAUCCCAAGAAAGUAGCGAAGAGGGCCAAGAUCAGACAUAAGAAACUGCUCACUAAGACAGGCCUUUACAAAGGCAAUAUACUCGGGGUCAUCCCCAGUGAUGACCAUGUCAUCAACAUAGAGAAGAAGAAGAGUCCGACCACGAGGAGAAAGGUGAAUAAACAAUGCUGGAUCAUGAGCACUUGCUGAAAAACCAGCAGCAGUGACCACAAAGGCAAAACGCUCAAACCAGGCACGGGGGGCUUGCUUAAGGCCAUAGAGAGAGCGACGAAGACGACAGACCAUGCCAUCAGGAACAGAAUACCCAGGUGGUGGCUGCAUGUACACCUCCUCACGCAGCUCACCAUUAAGAAAAGCAUUCUUAACAUCAAGCUGAGAUAUAGACCAGUGGCGUGCAGAGGCAACGGCAAGAAGUGUACGAACAGUGGUCAUAUGUGCCACAAGAGCAAAAGUCUCGUCAUAAGCACGACCAUGCUCCUGCUGAAAACCAUGAGCCACAAGACGAGCUUUGUGACGCUCAAGAGAACCAUCGGAGCGAGUCUUAACCUUGUAGACCCACUUACAAGUGAUGGGACGGACUCCGGGAGGAAGGGAAACAAGAUCCCAGGUACUAGUGCGUUCAAGAGCAGCAAUCUCCUCUGCCAUCGCAAAAUGCCAUUCAGGAUGAACAACAGCCUGACGAUAAGAAGUCGGCUCAAGAACAGCAGCACCAGCGGUGGGAAAUCCAAAGCGAUCAACAGGCGGACGAGGACGAGAACGCAAGCCAUAAGUAGGCUGAGAGGAAGAUGACGACACAUCCACGGAGGCAUCCACAUGACGUGAACGACGAGUGUAAUACUGAGGAAAAGAUGGAACAAUAGAAGGAGGAAUCGCCAAGGUAGAAUCGAGGGGUGGCGACGAAGAAGUCACCGGAGAUGAAGGUGUAGAAUCCGGUGACAUGCUAGAUGAGGAGACCGUGGAAGAUGGUGGCAUCAAAUCGACUAGAGGUGGAGAAGCAGAGGGAGCGGAACGAAUAGGCACAGGCUCGAGGGGGUGAUAGGUGAGUCAGGAAAAGUGAGGAAAGAGAUAUCCUCCAUUGAAAAGGUCGAGGAAGAUGGGCGUGGGUAGAAGGGACGAGACUCAUCAAAAGUCACGUCUCAAGAGAUACGCAUCCGACGACCGAUAGGAUCCCAACAACGAUAGCCCUUAUGCUCAUCACUGUAGCCUAAAAAGACACUCAACAGACUGAGCGGUCAGUUUGGUGCGUUCGCGAGGGGCAAGAAGAACAUAGCAAACACAACCAAACAAGCGAAGCAUCGAAUAAUCGGGAGAACGAUCAAAAAGACGCUCGAAAGGAACACCACCCUGUAGAGCAGCAGAAGGCUGGAGAUUGAUAAGAUAGGUGGAGGUGGAGACGGCCUCAGCCCAAAAAUGAGGCGGGAGAGAGGCAGUAAUUAGCAAUGCACGAGCCAUCUCAAGAAGAUGAUGAUGCUUUCGCUCAGCCACACCAUUCUGAGCAUGAGCACCAGGACAAGAGAAUUGAGAGAGAGUGCCUUCCUCAGCAAGAACACCACGCAACAUCUUAGAGAUAUACUCGCCAGCAGAGUCAGCACGAAGAACACGAAUGGGUGAAGAGAACUGAGUAUGAACCAUGGCAGCAAAACGCUUAUAUAUAGACAACACCUCACUACGAGAAGUCAUGAAAUAAAGCCAUGUGUAACGGGAGAAGUCAUCUAUGAAAAUAAUAUAGUAUUUAUGACCACCUUUGGAAGCGAAAGGAGCCGGACCCCAUACAUCAUAAUGGACUAAAUCAAAAGGACGCUUAGACACUGACUCACUAUGUGAAUAUGGUAACUGAAUCUGCUUGUCAAGACGACAACCCUGACACUCUAAAGAGACAUCUCCUGAGACAGACCCCAGAAGGCCUCGACGAACUAAAGACGACAACCGAGAACCACACAGAUGACCAAGUCGAUGAUGCCACUGCUUGAAGGAACCAGUAACAGAGGCGACUGAAGCGGAGGAACUGGCGAUAGUGGUGGCAGCAGAAGGAACAUGAAGCCAACCAGAGUGUGCGUGCGACGGUCCUGGACAGAACAAGAGUCAACGUCAAGGAUGACGCGACAACCAGAAUCAGUAAGUUGACCAGCAGAAAACAGAUUCAUGGUGAGUCGAGGAACAUGAGCAACAUCAGGAACAGAGUAAGGAGUGGUAAGAGUGCCUCUACUAACGACAGAAAGUGGAGUACCAUCAGCAGUGAGGACAUGAACAGGAGAAUCCAGCGAGCGAAGAGAGGACAAAAUGGAAGAAUGAGAAGACAUAUGAAAAGAAGCUCGAGAGUCCAGAACCCAUGGGGAUGUACCUGACUAUGUAGAGGGUGAUUGCUCAGUGCGGGAAGCAUCAGUCACAGAAUCAGCAGUACCCGUCGAGGAAGAACCUGAAGCCGCGAGCAGACGCUUAAGUCUCAGAAUAUCCUGCUCAAAGUAAUGGCUGAAGCUAUCGAGGUAGAUGACGAAGUCCCUGAAGAUGAUUAUCGCGCCUUGCGCAGGUGUUUCUUCUUCGUGUAGCACUGAGACUCAAGAUGACCAUCAUUGUUGCAGUAGUCGCAAUGUGGACGCGGGCGACCUGAGCCUCCAGAAGGAGUGGGCAAGAGCGGCGGAGCACUCGAGCGAGAAGGGGUCGGUGCAGCAGGUGGCGUAGGAGCACGAGUAGCGAGCACAGAGGGAACCUCCAGCAAACCAGCACCACGUAAGCGAGUCUCCUCAGCACGAAUCUCAGAAAGCGCCUCCAUGAGAGAAAUACGGCCACAAGCAAACAACUGAGCACGCCGGGGCUCAAACUCCUUACGGAGCCGAGACAGGAACUCAUAGACGCGAUGAAACUCCAAAUUGGCCUGGACAGCCUGGCAACAGGGGCAGGUACGACAACCAGCACUGCGGAGAGAAUCAAGCUGGCGCCAGAUAGCAAAACUCUGUGCAUAGAAGUCAUCAACAGUAGAGUCACCCUGCUGAAGAGCAUGCUCCUGACGGACCACAGAAAGGUAUAAGGCAUCACCAGAGGGCUGAUAGCGCUGAUGAAGACGGGUCCACAUCUCAAAGACAGUAGGAAGACCCAGAAACUCAGAAGCAAACUGAGGCAGAACACUAGCAGUGACAACAGCAGCAGCACGAGCAUCAUCAUCAAGCCACUGGGUGUAAGCAGACAGAGCACCAUGAUAAAUCUGAAGAGCCUCCUCAUAAGCCAAAACCUUCUCAUCAUAAGCACGAUCAGCAGCCUCAUCAGCAAGCUUAGCCGCAUCCUUGGUGGCCUGAUUAGCAUCCGGAGCAAGAACCAGUGGAGUCGGCGGAGUAGGGGCCACCGGAGGAACCGGACGUGGCGGACAGCAGACCUUGCCAGAAAGAACACCCCAGAGACGGAUGCCACGCAUGUGAAUGCGCAUAAAGCCAGUGAACUCGGUGUAGUUAGUACCAUCGAAAAUCACCGGACAGCGAGGGACAGCAACAUAGCCCGAUGCAGUAGACAUAUCUUUUUUUUUUAGCAGAGAUCCAAAAUCAGCAGAAUCCGACGAGAGCAGCAGGGACGAGACCACCAGCUUCCAAUCGGCAACAGGACGGGAUCGGGGGAGCAGCAGGCAGUCGAUCCAGACCAAGGGGCGACUGGCAGCUGGAGGCAGCGGCGGGAUCCAGCAGGGGCCUGUGCGAGUCGGGACAAGGGCGAGCUCGAGCGGGAGCGUCCUUCUCGAUCGGGUGAGGGGCUGCGAGCGAUCGAUCGGGGGAGGGGCUGCGAGCGAUCCUUAUAGGAUCGAGAACGGGAGAGGAGGCCCGUUUCGAUCCAGGACGGGAUCCGAGCGGGACAAGGAGAUCGAGGCUGCGGCCUCUAUCGGGAGGAGAGAUGGAUCAAUCGCACGAGUUGCAGCGUGCAAAAAAGUUAACCUAGCUCUAAUACCAUGUUAGGAAUAUGCAACUUGUAUUCCCAUGAGGCCAUAGGCCGAUAUAUAUACAUGUACAGAUGUGAAACAUAUGCAGGAAACCCCUUAUAUAACGGGAUAAAUACAAAGGGGUACAUGACUUAUAAUAUAACUCUAACACAUCUUAUCCCCUGAGAUAUAUUGCCUUUAAUCUCUUGAUUUUUUUCCCUGACAUGCUAAUAUUGAUGUGACACUGCCUAUGGAGACAAAUAUUUCAUUGCCGGAGAAGUAUGUCGUACGAGCUAAACGCACUGGAAAAGGAAAUCAAUUUGUUACUAUUGAUUCAAUACAUAAACAAAGUCUGGCCAUGACGCACAUCGCUCCGGAGAUACAGGUAUUACAGAUUGGCACGAUGACGUUUCAAAUUGUACAGCCGAAGGAAGUGAAGCCCACUUUUCGAACCCCAUGCAAUCAUGAUACGGAGGGGAAGAUGCAAGUUAAGGACUCAGGAGGAUGCAUGCGUUUUCCUUAGUCCUAGUUCGUUUCCUUUUCAAUAAGUACUAGUCUGUUUUGUCUUUUGUGAUCAACGUGCCGGAUAAUUAAAUUAGUUAAGAUGUGAUUAGAAAGAUAGGAGAGAGAGAGUCCAUGUAGUAUUUUUCUUGUUUAAGUCGGUUUAGCCUGGUCGUUUUUCUCGCCUAUAUAAAAGGCCGGCUUCGGCCAUGUACGGGAUAGCUUUGGUUGAAGUUAUUUUCCAGAGAUGAAUAGAUCGGUAACUCGGGGUAUCUCCGAGCCGCUGUUUGAUAUUUGUUGAAUAGCUCUUGGGGCUUUGUGAUUUUGGCGUGAGAUUGAUUCCAGAAUUUCAGUUUCCGCUGGUCUGCUGAAGAUCGUCCACGUACUUCCUCUCUAGGGUGUGCGUGUUGUUGCUGUGGUGAUUGCAUCUACAAGAUCGCGAGCGCCACGUCGUUUCAGGUGACAUCACACCGUGAAAGAUUGGGCAAAUUAUUUGUACCAUCGAUUUUCUGUCGACGGUCGCACCAAAUAUAGAGCCAGAUAUGCAUGAUUCAUCAUACACAUUACAGCCAAUUAUCCAUUGGUUCUUUUGUCCAUAGAGGUGAUUUUGUUUGGACCAUUAGUCUAGGUAGUGACAUUUUGAUCGAUAAGGCACAAGUUUAUUUUCUUUAUCACUCGGGCUACACUAAAGUAAGCAUAACCGUCAGUGAAAUGAAGGCAUACAAAUCAUGAAGUUUUUGCCUUGGCUGUGUGCCUCGUUUAGUUGUCACUUAUUUAUUUCUUGGAAGUUAUUCAAUUCUCAUUGAGCUUUCCUUAUGCUUUCCAUUGCUAAAGAAGAAAUUUAAAUAUGCAAUAUUUUUAAUGUCUGAGGAGGCGAGAGGAGAUGAAAAAGGGCUGUAAGGUUGUACUUUGGUGCGUCUCUGUCCAAUGAUGGCUGGAUCCAUCUGACGCUCUUCCAAGCAGAGCAGUGCAGAUUUGCUGACUGAGCAGCGGAGAAACAUGUUUCUAAAAAUGUGCCAAAACUGAUGGAUUUAACUACAGGUAUUGCACUAUUAUUCUACAGGUAUCGCUGUAUUGCAUUAUCCAACUGUAAGUCUGUUCUAAACUCUAUGCCCCAUGUAAAUCUGAUGGAAGAUUGGGCCAUUUAAUUUUAACCAAAAAGGGUGAUAUGCUUUGAGUUGCUUGAAUCUGUCCAGACCUGAAAAUUAGAUAUACUUUGAAAGCUCGAUAUAUGAGUAGGAGAUAGUUGAUAAAGGUGUACCUCUUGUAGGAGAUUAGUAGUUGAUUACCUGCUUCUAUGCGGUGAACAAAUGAGUAAGCAGUUUUAGUUGAUAAAGGUGUAGGCAACACACCAUUUUUGCUCCAUUUUUUGGUUUACAAGUCAAGGAUGUUUAGCCUUUCCUGAAUAUGUUAAUUGUGAAACAGUUUUGAUGCAAUUUUUGAACCAUUCAGUCUGUUUUGUUCGUGCAGUUCAUGGUACCAGAUCUGCAGCCUGCAUCUUGUGUAGAUUUGGCUACCACAUUAUAUGAUGAUGUUUCACUUUGCUCAGUCAAAGUUUCAGUAAAAAUUUGAAUUGAACAUAUUUUUGUAGACAUACAAAAAUGGUCUGCAUUUUUUACAUCGCCCUGACAUCCAAUUCAAACUAUAUUUUCUGCCUAAACUGUUGCGUACCCAUGAGAUCAUGGGAUAACUCAGACAUGAGCCGGUGUCCAGUGCGCAGUUGGGUGCAUUAUUUGGUGACAUCCAGUGCUAACUGUUUUUUCAAGGCCACCGAGUGGAGUGAGGGUGAGUAGUGUGGCAUCAGCCUACCGUUUAUUUAGCUGGUUCUAGGAUCUCCUUUGUUGCUGCAUCUUGAUCUCCUGCUUUGCUGUAACUAUGUUCUGCUGCUUGAUGUUUGUUUCCUUCUUUCUAGCUACAUGCUUAUUCUUUCUAGCCACACGCAUGUUUUCCUUUUGCUGUGGGAAAUAGUUCAGUUAUAUUUAUCAGUAGCAUCUCUAUGUUUAUAGAUACAUACUAGGAACAUGCUUAUUUAGUGUGGCCUUCUCUUUUUUAUGCAAGAAGUGUGCCUUCUCUAAUCUGACAAUCAUCUUAUUUGUUGUUCUAAAUAAUUACUACAGGAUGGAGCAGCAGGCAUAGAUGAAAUCUACUGCAAAUUUCUAUUGGUUGCGGCAUCUUCCGCCGACUCACAUUGUGGUAUGGUCAUGGUACAGCAAAAGGAAAAGAUGUUUAAACUUUUUUUGGGCGUCAUACAUGAAAAGUACCUUUAUUUCCAUCGAGCUUAAUUACUAAGAAAAUGUUACCACUAUUUCCUUACUAAUAAACCUAAAUGUUCUGAAAGUUCGGUCUCUUGCUCUCUUUGCUUAUGAAUUGGACACUUUCCCUUUCUUUAGUCCUUACACGGUUCCACCUCGCUUUGACUUCAUACUUUGAUGGUGUUUGUAGGUAUGAAGACUUGAAGAGUGGUCAUAAUGUUACUUAAAGGAGGCCUCAACUUGCACCAAAUACAUGGGCAUGUGCAACAGCAACUUAUGUAGGUUUCUAAAAACCAAUAAAUGCUGCUCUCAAAUCAGUUAGGAGGCUGAAGGUAGUAGCUUACUGAACUCUCAUUUCCGGAAAAAUCUGGAGAUGUCUUGUUUGUACAAUCUCUAAAGAUGGUGCUCCAUUGUUCUGUUAAUCAAGAUUUGUUCCCUCCUUUCUUACUAGCUGAUACGUGAUGACCGUUUGCAUGGGGUUUAUGUUAACUAUAUUCUAUUCAUGAUUCAAACUGUUUGUUGGGUAAUUUAGUUUAGACAUUGUGUCCUGAGAAUCUUGAUAUCUAGCUGUAUCGGUAUAGUAUAGUUUGUGAUUUUUCCCUCUGAAUUUAUAUAUCCACUCAGGUUGGGAUAGGUUAUGAGUAUUCUUAGUGUGGAAACAGCGACAGUGCUGCACUUUCAUCAUAUGAUGAUAUGCCAACCUUGCGCCAUUUGGCUCUAUGUUACCUGAAUAAGAUAACAAAAUACACA
This is a non-coding RNA of Triticum urartu, 9201 nucleotides long. The record is from RefSeq and is a predicted model, not a curated record. Lineage: Eukaryota; Viridiplantae; Streptophyta; Magnoliopsida; Poales; Poaceae.